CCUACGGGGGGCAGCAGUGAGGAAUCUUGCCCAAUGGGGGAAACCCUGAGGCAGCAACGCCGCGUGAAGGAAGACGGUCUUCGGAUUGUAAACUUCUUUUGCCAGGAAAGAAGGCGAGGCAACUCGCUUGACGGUACCUGGCGAAUCAGACACGGCUAACUACGUGCCAGCAGCCGCGGUAAUACGUAGGUGUCGAGCGUUAUCCGGAAUUACUGGGCGUAAAGGGCACGCAGGCGGUGAGAUGGGUCCCCUGUGAAAGCGCUCGGCUCAACCGAGCGAGGCCUGGGGAAACUAUCUGACUUGAGCCAGUGAGAGGGAAGCGGAAUUCCCGGUGGAGUGGUGGAAUGCGUAGAGAUCGGGAAGAACACCAGAGGCGCAAGCGGCUUCCUGGCACUGGGCUGACGCUGAGGUGCGAAAGCGUGGGGAGCCAACGGGAUUAG
This 440-nucleotide ribosomal RNA is filed under the name uncultured bacterium. Its description in RNAcentral is "bacterial SSU rRNA". It matches the Rfam family "Bacterial small subunit ribosomal RNA", at positions 338 to 781 of the family's 1533-position model. The record is from RNAcentral.